UGAAUAUUUUCGCUGAAUCCAUGUUUUUUGGAAUGGGAGAACCAAUCUUUUGGGGUGAAUCACUAAUUUUAGUGUAGGGUAUUAAUCCGAAUCCGUCAGCUAAUCUCGUAAGCGUUAUUAAGUGGGGAA
This 129-nucleotide small RNA is filed under the name Ureibacillus massiliensis. RNAcentral describes it as "Lysinibacillus massiliensis c-di-AMP sequence". It matches the Rfam family "c-di-AMP riboswitch aptamer (ydaO/yuaA leader)". From Rfam's summary of the family: This family represents a conserved RNA structure found upstream of the ydaO and yuaA genes in Bacillus subtilis and related genes in other bacteria. The ydaO/yuaA element is thought to act as a genetic "off" switch for the ydaO and yuaA genes in its native state. Lineage: Bacteria; Bacillati; Bacillota; Bacilli; Caryophanales; Caryophanaceae. RNAcentral also lists the same sequence under 1 other name. The record is from RNAcentral.